UACGGAGGGUGCGAGCGUUGUCCGGAAUCAUUGGGCGUAAAGGGCGCGUAGGUGGCCUGGCAAGCGUGCGGUGAAAGCUCGGGGCUCAACCCCGAGUCGGCCGUGCGAACUGCUAUGGCUCGAGCACUGUAGAGGCAGGCGGAAUUCCGGGUGUAGCGGUGGAAUGCGUAGAGAUCCGGAAGAACACCGGUGGCGAAGGCGGCCAACUGGACAGAUACUGACGCUGAGACUCGAAAGCGUGGGGAGCAAACAGG
This 254-nucleotide ribosomal RNA is filed under the name uncultured bacterium. RNAcentral describes it as "partial 16S ribosomal RNA". It matches the Rfam family "Bacterial small subunit ribosomal RNA", at positions 524 to 776 of the family's 1533-position model. The record is from RNAcentral.